AUUGAACGCUGGCGGCAGGCCUAACACAUGCAAGUCGAACGGUAACAGGAAGAAGCUUGCUUCUUUGCUGACGAGUGGCGGACGGGUGAGUAAUGUCUGGGAAACUGCCUGAUGGAGGGGGAUAACUACUGGAAACGGUAGCUAAUACCGCAUAACGUCGCAAGACCAAAAAGGGGGACCUUCGGGCCUCUUGCCAUCGGAUGUGCCCAGAUGGGAUUAGCUAGUAGGUGGGGUAACGGCUCACCUAGGCGACGAUCCCUAGCUGGUCUGAGAGGAUGACCAGCCACACUGGAACUGAGACACGGUCCAGACUCCUACGGGAGGCAGCAGUGGGGAAUAUUGCACAAUGGGCGCAAGCCUGAUGCAGCCAUGCCGCGUGUAUGAAGAAGGCCUUCGGGUUGUAAAGUACUUUCUGCGGGGAGGAAGGGAGUAAAGUUAAUACCUUUGCUCAUUGACGUUACCCGCAGAAGAAGCACCGGCUAACUCCGUG
Molecule: ribosomal RNA, 490 nt
Filed under: uncultured bacterium
Lineage: Bacteria
Description: partial 16S ribosomal RNA
Rfam family: Bacterial small subunit ribosomal RNA
Source: RNAcentral